GAUGAAGAACGUAGCGAAAUGCGAUAAGUAAUGUGAAUUGCAGAAUUCAGUGAAUCAUCGAAUCUUUGAACGCACAUUGCGCCCUCUGGUAUUCCGGGGGGCAUGCCUGUUCGAGCGUCAUUAUAACCACUCAAGCUCUCGCUUGGUAUUGGGGUUCGCGGUUCCGCGGCCCCUAAAAUCAGUGGCGGUGCCUGUCGGCUCUACGCGUAGUAAUACUCCUCGCGAUUGAGUCCGGUAGGUCUACUUGCCAGCAACCCCCAAUUUUUACAGGUUGACCUCGUAUCAGGUAGGGAUACCCGCUGAACUUAAGCAUAUCAAUAAGCGGAGGA
Molecule: unclassified non-coding RNA, 329 nt
Filed under: soil metagenome
Description: partial contains 5.8S ribosomal RNA, internal transcribed spacer 2, and large subunit ribosomal RNA
Rfam family: 5.8S ribosomal RNA (bases 1-120)
Source: RNAcentral